GCUGGGCGCAGUGGCAUAUGCCUGUAUUCUCAGCUAUUCGGGAGGCUGAGGUGGGAGGAUCGCUUGAGCGCAGGAGUUCUGGGCUGUAGUGCACUAUGCCGAUCGGGUGUCCUCACUAAGUUCGGCAUCAGUAUGGUGACCUACCGGGAGCAGGGGACCACCAGGUUGCCUAAGGAAUGGUGAAUCGGCCCAGGUCAGAAACAGAGCAGGUCAAAACUCCCGUGCUGAUCAGUAGUGGGAUCGCGCCUGUGAAUAGCCACUGCACUCCAGCCUGAGCAACAUAGGGAGACCCAGUCUCUA
RNAcentral lists this signal recognition particle RNA (300 nucleotides) under Callithrix jacchus (white-tufted-ear marmoset). Its description in RNAcentral is "Metazoan signal recognition particle RNA (ENSCJAG00000075996.1)". It matches the Rfam family "Metazoan signal recognition particle RNA". From Rfam's summary of the family: The signal recognition particle (SRP) is a universally conserved ribonucleoprotein. It is involved in the co-translational targeting of proteins to membranes. Lineage: Eukaryota; Metazoa; Chordata; Mammalia; Primates; Cebidae. The record is from Rfam by way of RNAcentral.